Ciona intestinalis (vase tunicate) is the source of this 361-nucleotide non-coding RNA. The record is from RefSeq and is a predicted model, not a curated record. NCBI's taxonomy places the organism in Eukaryota, Metazoa, Chordata, Ascidiacea, Phlebobranchia, Cionidae.
CAAUCGUUAGUUACAACAAGAAUACGCUGGGAGUAACUUGCCGGUUGGGAUUGAUCUGCAAUCAGGUGAACCCAUGAACCCCGUAGAUGCCGGUGUGUUGGAUAAUCAUUGCGUUACUAAACAAUUACUUAACUCAUGCACUGUUAUUGCUUCCAACUUAUUGUUGGUCGAUGAAAUGAUGAGAGCUGGUAUGGCAACACUGAAAGGUUGAGAAUUGAGAUUAACCAUCGGUUGCAGCUAUUGUCUCGUAACGAACUUUAUUAUGAUGUAACAAGCAUGACCGCAUGUUCCUUUAAGUUUGGCGUCUCGUGUUUGUUUUGUAUUAAAAUUAUUACUCAAAUAAAGUGAAUGUAGAAGACUC